Molecule: transfer RNA, 74 nt
Organism: Zostera marina
Lineage: Eukaryota; Viridiplantae; Streptophyta; Magnoliopsida; Alismatales; Zosteraceae
Rfam family: tRNA
About the family: Transfer RNA (tRNA) molecules are approximately 80 nucleotides in length. Their secondary structure includes four short double-helical elements and three loops (D, anti-codon, and T loops).
Source: Rfam
GGCCUAUUAGCUCAGUUGGUUAGAGCGUCGUGCUAAUAACGCGAAGGUCACUGGUUCGAGACCUGUAUAGGUCA